RNAcentral lists this ribosomal RNA (1399 nucleotides) under uncultured bacterium. Its description in RNAcentral is "partial 16S ribosomal RNA". It matches the Rfam family "Bacterial small subunit ribosomal RNA". The record is from RNAcentral.
UAGAGUUUGAUCCUGGCUCAGGAUGAACGCUAGCUACAGGCUUAACACAUGCAAGUCGAGGGGCAGCGUGGGGUAGCAAUACUCCCACCGAGACCGGCGAAUGGGUGAGUAACACGUAUCCAACCUACCUCUGGCUCAGGGAUAGCCCUUAAAAAAGAUGAUUAAUACCUGAUGGUGUCGCAUGAUCUCAUGACAGCGCGACUAAAGAUUCAUCGGCGAGGGAUGGGGAUGCAUCUGAUUAGUUAGUUGGCGGGGUAACGGCCCACCAAGACGACGAUCAGUAGGGGUUCUGAGAGGAAGGUCCCCCACAUUGGUACUGAGACACGGUCCAAACUCCUACGGGAGGCAGCAGUGAGGAAUAUUGGUCAAUGGGCGCAAGUCCUGAACCAGCCAAGUAGCGUGAAGGAUGACGGCCCUAUGGGUUGUAAACUUCUUUUGUCGGGGGAUAAAGCGGGCCACGUGUGGCCCUUUGCAGGUACCCGAUGAAUAAGGACCGGCUAAUUCCGUGCCAGCAGCCGCGGUAAUACGGAAGGUCCGAGCGUUAUCCGGAUUUAUUGGGUUUAAAGGGAGCGUAGGUGGAAUGGUAAGUCAGCCGUCAAAUCGCGGAGCUCAAUUCCGUCCAGCGGUUGAUACUGUCAUUCUUGAGUGCACAAGAGGCAGGUGGAAUUGAGAGGUGUAGCGGUGAAAUGCUUAGAUAUCUCGAAGAACUCCGAUUGCGAAGGCAUCUCGCUGGUGUGCACCUGACAGUGAGGCUAGAAGGUGCGGGUAUCAAACAGGAUUAGAUACCCUGGUAGUCCCCACAGCAAACAACGAAGGCUCGUGACGUGGGACGAGCUUCUACGUCGCCUCGCGAAAGCGUUAUGCAUCCCCCCCGGGGAGUGCGCCGGCACCGAUGAAACUCUAAGGAAUAGACGGGGGCCCGCGCACGCGGAGGAACACAUGGUGUAAUUUGAUGAUACGCGAGGAGCACUACCCGCGCGCGAAAGGCAGUCGACGGAGAUCAGAGGCGAGCUAUUCCUUCCGGCGCCCGUGUAGAUGCGGCACAGUGGUCUUCUCCUCGCGCCUCGAGGGGUCGGGGUAAGAGCCACAACGAGAGCACCCCCCAUCUUUGCUGACCCUCUCGUAAUGCCGGGGACUCCAGCGACACUGCCACCGCAAGAUGUGAGGAAGGCGGGGAUGACGUCAAAUCAGCACGGCCCUUACGUCCGGGGCGACACACGUGUUACAAUGGGGGGCACAGAAAGAAGGCCGGUGGCGACACAGGCCGAAUCCUCAAAUCCCCUCCCAGUUCGGACUGGAGUCUGCAACCCGACUCCACGAAGCUGGAUUCGCUAGUAAUCGCGCAUCAGCCAUGGCGCGGUGAAUACGUUCCCGGGCCUUGUACACACCGCCCGUCAAG